This 171-nucleotide small RNA is filed under the name Chrysemys picta bellii (western painted turtle). RNAcentral's name for it is "TUC338 (ENSCPBG00000004007.1)". The record is from RNAcentral. Lineage: Eukaryota; Metazoa; Chordata; Testudines; Emydidae.
UGAAAACCCUGGAAGCUGAAGUCCUCUGCUUAUCCACACAAUAUGUACAGUAUGGGCAGCAGCAAUGCAAUCUUCCCAUGCAGCCCUGCCUAUGUUGUCUCAGAGCACCUCUGUUUGAAGACAGCAGUGACUGAGUAGUUCAGAUUCCAUUUCUAUUCAAGUUUCUCUGCU